Molecule: microRNA precursor, 78 nt
Filed under: Gadus morhua (Atlantic cod)
Lineage: Eukaryota; Metazoa; Chordata; Actinopteri; Gadiformes; Gadidae
Description: Gmo-Let-7-P2b2a_pre stem-loop
Rfam family: let-7 microRNA precursor family
About the family: This family represents the microRNAs (miRNA) let-7 and mir-98. let-7 was identified from a study of developmental timing in C. elegans, and was later shown to be part of a much larger class of non-coding RNAs termed miRNAs.
Source: RNAcentral
UGAGGUAGUAGGUUGUGUGGUUUCAGGCGAGUGAUUUUUGCCGCCAUCAGGAGAUAACUAUACAACCUACUGCCUUCC